AUUGAACGCUGGCGGCAGGCCUAACACAUGCAAGUCGAACGGUAGCACAGAGAGCUUGCUCUCGGGUGACGAGUGGCGGACGGGUGAGUAACGUCUGGGAAACUGCCCGAUGGAGGGGGAUAACUACUGGAAACGGUAGCUAAUACCGCAUAACGUCGCAAGACCAAAGUGGGGGACCUUCGGGCCUCACACCAUCGGAUGUGCCCAGAUGGGAUUAGCUAGUAGGUGGGGUAAUGGCUCACCUAGGCGACGAUCCCUAGCUGGUCCGAGAGGAUGACCAGCCACACUGGAACUGAGACACGGUCCAGACUCCUACGGGAGGCAGCAGUGGGGAAUAUUGCACAAUGGGCGCAAGCCUGAUGCAGCCAUGCCGCGUGUAUGAAGAAGGCCUUCGGGUUGUAAGGUACUUUCAGCGGGGAGGAAGGCGGUGAAGUUAAUAACUUCACCGAUUGACGUUACCCGCAGAAGAAGCACCGGCUAACUCCGUGCCAGCCGCCGCUGUAA
RNAcentral lists this ribosomal RNA (504 nucleotides) under uncultured bacterium. RNAcentral describes it as "partial 16S ribosomal RNA". It matches the Rfam family "Bacterial small subunit ribosomal RNA", at positions 30 to 523 of the family's 1533-position model. The record is from RNAcentral.